This 11052-nucleotide long non-coding RNA is filed under the name Citrus x clementina. RNAcentral's name for it is "Citrus clementina (C. clementina) long non-coding RNA (CCLE_LNC005623)". The record is from RNAcentral. Lineage: Eukaryota; Viridiplantae; Streptophyta; Magnoliopsida; Sapindales; Rutaceae.
CCUGUGGUGCAAUCAACAUCUGGUCUUUUUACAUGUGCUGUAUGCCAAAUCGACCUUGCUCCGAGUGAGGGAAUCUCUGUUCAUGCUGGUUCCAUCUUCUCCACUAGCUCAAAGCCCUGGCAAGGGCCUUUCCUCUGCGCUGAUUGCCGAAAUAAGAAGGAUGCCAUGGAAGGAAAACGCCCUAGUGGAGUUAAAGUAGCAUAACUCCUUUAUUGUAACCUCCUUAUUCUUUCCCACUUCAUUCUAUUUUUUUGUGCCCACUUUCGAUUAGGCUAGUGAAUUGUUUGAAUCUUACCAUAGUGCUACAUCAAUUGUAUAUGUAAUAUAUGCAAAUAAUGUAAAAUGAGUUUUAGCGCCUCAGGGAGAGCUGAUUGAUUAUUGGGUGUUCCUUUAGAAUUCCAAAACUUUUGGCGGUCUUGUUUUUUGCGUUAGUGCUAACCAAGCCACGAAGAUUACAAAUAAAGAUUACUAUGUGCCAAAGCAGUGGAACUCUAGUGAAAACUGCGUCAUUCUUUGUUGCCUGAUAUUUAUUGAAAUGGACGUCUCUAAUUCCAUAUUUAUCGAAAAUUGCACCAAUUUACAAAGUAGAAAGGGGGAGGAAAACAGUGCAUUCUGAUACCUAAUGGUAUUUUUACAAUGUUAUUAGUAUACUUUUUGAAGAGUCUGCUAUACUUUGUAUAGUUGAAGAGUCUGCUGGUGAGCCCGGCGAAGAUAAGAAGGGCUUGGGUGGGAUUUGCAAGGAAUCGAGGCUUGCUUCCAACAUUUCCACUACUCUAUUCAUUGUUGGCCGGCUUGAGGGGUUAGUCUGUAUGCACCACAAGCUUACAAUUAUCAUCUUCCUUGCAUAUUCUUUAUCUUGUUCAUUUUCAAUGCCUUGCAGUCCAAGUUCUUCAUCCUUUUCUAGACGCUUGUAAAUCCAAUGCGGAAAAUAUAUGUCACUGCUUCCAUUAUCCCCAACAUCAACGUUCUUUCUUCCUCCAGUCAUUUCGAAAAUCAUCAUUCCGUAGCUAUAAACAUCCGACUUGUAAGAGACUUCCCCAAUAUUUCUACAGAACACUUCUGGAGCAAUAUACCCAACAGUCCCCCGUGCACCUGUCAUUGAGAUGAUACUCUCUUUCCUGUUGCAGAUUUUAGCUAGGCCGAAAUCAGAGAUCUUAGGACAGAAGUCUUCAUCUAGGAGAAUGUUAUGAGGCUUGAUGUCAAAAUGCAGAAUUCGUGUACUGCAGCCAAGGUGCAAGUACUCUAAUCCUCGAGCUAUGCCUACUGCAAUUUGGAGCAACGUUUCCCAGGUCAAUUUAUGAUUUUCUAUCGAUGAGCUGUUUCUAUAAAUGAACUUCUCCAGAGAUCCAUUGGACACAAACUCGUAGAUGAGAGCUCUUCUGCGACCCUCAAAACAGAAUCCUAAAAGAGUGACGACGUUAACAUGGGAAGUCCUGCUAAUGCUAGCAACCUCAUUGAUGAAUUCUUCACCAUUUCCUUUUGAAUCAUUUAAGACUUUUACUGCCACAUUACUACCGUCAAUUAGUUUUCCUUUGUAAACACUUCCAUAGCCUCCUUGGCCGAGUUUAUAUUUGAAAGAAUUGGUCAUUUUCUUAAUAUCUGCAUGGCUAUAUCUUCUAGGAGCUAGAGAUCCAUGAUUCCUUAAAAAUGUCUCAAUGUUCAGACAACUUCCAGUGGAAUCGUAUGAUGAAAAUUUUCUAUAGAACAUGAUCCAGAAGGACAAAAGUGCAAUCAGGACAAUUGAUCCGCCACCUAAUGUGCAAAAUGAAAAGCUUUAAUUUUUUUCACCAACAUGGUGCUGUGCUGGAAAACACAAAUUACAAAUGAAAUUUCUUUUCAAUUCCCAUUGAAGGCUGCAGAGAAAUUUAUGCAGCAGAGAUUAGAGAGGUAUAUUACCUAGUCCCAGGCCUAGCUUUAAUUCCGAUUUUUCAUGUCCUGCAACACAAAUACAAAGAAAAUGGUGUUAGUUUAGACAAUAAAUAAAGCAGUUAUAGUUUAGGCAAUAAAUACAGCAGUUAUGUAAUUAGAGCAUCCAAAUUCUUGACAGCAUCGCACAGAAACAGAGAGGCUGCACAUCUCAAACUUAUAUUUUUGUCUUCCUGAGAUGAAUUAGCGGCUUCUUCCAAUCCCGGGUAAGGAGUCAGUUUUUUUUUUUUUUUGAGAAGUCAGUUGAAAUAACCAAAUAAAGAAAUCAGUGUAUAAAGAGAGGAAUUCGUUUGUGGCAUGUUAUCGAAAUAGACCUAGCUUUUACAACUGUUUAAUAAUGUGAGUAGUACAGAGCAGAAAGACUAUGAACGAACGUGUAUAUGUUCAUGAAGAUGAACUAGUCCUAAUACCUUAUGUAACUUUUGAUACCUGUCCGUUCGUUUUCACAUUGAAAAUUUUCCUUGUCAUCAAAAUGACAGUGGCCUCGUUUCUUAAGACAAUCAUUACAUUCUCUUGAUUCAGCACAUUGAAACUUUCCCUCGCUAUCACUUCGACACUGGCCCCCUCUCCAGCCACAUUCCCAACAAAACCAGGGUAUUUCCACUUGAAGAGAGAAAACUGAAGUUAACAUAUUGAACAAGUCAUCAGAUUUUCUAGUCUUAUUCACUGGGAGCUGAAUCAGUGAACAGUUAGGUGGAACAAUACGUGGUAAAGCAUCAUCCGGGUGAUUGUAAUAAAUAAAGGAGUUAUGGUUGCAGGUAAAAUGGAAACUCGGGAGGUUUUUCUCAAGCUUGUGGGUGCAUCUGAAGAGGCUCAGAUUUGAUUUGAUAUGAAAAGAGAGAGAAGCAGAGGUGGGGAGAGUCAAAUUUUCGAAGGAUUCACAGCUAGAGUUGCCCAAGUGAUUUUGAAACACUUGGUCUUCAAGAGUGAUUGAAGCAUCCUGGGCUAUGUUUAAAAUAUUAUAAAACGGCCCGGCCUUCCCCAAUCGAAUUCUCUGAACUGGUUUGUUGCAGUUAUCUACUAACAUCAACCCACAUUCAGGAUGCGUCCUAUUGGUGAAAGGAAAGAAAAAUUGACCGAGAUUUCCACAUGAGGGAAAAAAAGAUGGACAUGUUUUAUUCAGUUCACUUUCUUCUUCAGCCGAAGAAAGAAGUAAAAGUUGAGAGAUAACAAAGAACACAAGAAACGAGUAACAAGCCAUUAAUAUUCCGAAUUCCCAAUAUGGCUGGAGAAAUCAACUAAUAAACUGCUAAGAAUAUUCUUAAUCAACUAAUAAACUACUAAGAAUAAUCUUUGUAAUUCUUCAAAUUAUCUUGCAAUUUCUGCUAUUUUUCCUUGUCCACAUGUUUUGUUGCUAAAUCCAUAGAACACGCCAGUUGACUUGGAAAGACUUGUAGAUGUAGUGAUACUGAAACAAGUUCGAGCUGCGCAUGACUGCAUUCUACUGGACACUUUGCAGCUGUAGGACGUGAAAUACUUAUUCAAAAUGAUGGAUAAGUGUUUAACUCGUCCAGGAGAAGGGCCCCUUGAAGUAAGAAUGUUUUUUUUUUUUCCUUAAAAAUAAAUGCAGCUGUGAAUUACCUAAUAUUCUCCGUUUUUACGUCUCUGUGAUAUAGGCUGCAUAAAAUACGAAGGGAAAGUUUCAUGCUCUUAUAUAAAAAAUAAUGGAUAGGGCCGUAUCUCUAAAUAUAAUUGUUCAAGAUCUAAGUAUUCUCUAUACACUACAGUUGACGUAAGGUUUCUUUUACCCUAUUCUACUUAUAGCUUCUUUGUGAGGGAUAACAAAAUUGAGUGCGAGCGAAUUGGUUAGAGUAGGGACCCUUUUUAUAAUUAGCCUUAAAAUACAAUUUAAGACUCUUGAACUCCUACUAUUAAACAAGUGAGAUUAACAUAACUCUUUCACUUCCUUUUGUCAAAGACGUGAAUAAGUUAUAUACUUUAAUUUAUGGCUUAAUUAAAUAUCAUCUCUUAAUUGGAUAAUAAUUAUAAAUUGAUUUACUUUAGUUAAUUAAUUACUCAAUGUCACGUGUACCAUAUAUUGUCAAUUCUUAUAAUACUCACUACCUUAGAUUAUGAAAAACAGAGAAAUUAUUUGUUAAUUUUUCAAAGCAAUUAUAUAUCUAUUGUUGUUUUCCCCCCCACUUUUUUCGUGGUUACAACAGAGAGAUCUAUUUAUCUACCACAAACGAUAAAUCUAGAAUGCUUUCAAAGUUAUUAUUGCAUGUUUACUAAUUUAGUGUGGAACAGAAGUGUUCAGGAUGCUACCUAUCUUGAAUCCCAAGUUAAUUCAAUUCUUGGUCUCUUUGUUGAAAAAGUAGUGCAUGAAUGAAUAAUAAAGUGGAUAUUACAUGCAUUAAUGGUUAAUUAGAAGAAUCGCCAUUUUAUGCUAGAAAUUCAACUGAUGUAGGUAACUUUCGGAGAUAUGUUUUCAUACCGAAUAAAUGCAACACGAAAAUCAUUGUUUUAAUAUGUUUGCAUGGUCUAAAUUCUCAAGUAGAUAUGGAGGCUGCAAAUGAAGGAUUUGGUCCAUUUUCUUUGACAUGUCAUCAAACCACUUUUUGGCUACAAAUAGAACCCUCGUUUGACAUAGCAAAUCAUCCCGAAGCAGCACGAGUGAGAGCACAAAGAGUUCAAGUCACAAAAAUAUUUGAUGUCUAUUGAUUAUGUAUUGAUAACUUCAUGAAAUGAGAAUUAUCAUGACAUUUCUAAACUUAAACUAGCAUUACUUAGAGAGUAAAUUAUAUGUUUUUAUUACAUCUUUAGUUACAUUUUGCAUGAGCAUCUAUAUAAGUUUAAUUUUAAUAAAUUGAUUAUAUUUUAUAUCAUUUUGUGUUAUGAUUAUGUGCAUGAUUGUAGGUGACCAAAAAACUCAAACUUUAUGGAUGGAUUGUUGCAGUAGUAGACUUGCAGAAAUGACAAAAAACUUAUCUGCAGAUGAACUAAAACAAAUUUGAAUAAGAGAAGAUGUUGUAGCAAUUGCUGCAGCAAUCCAAGAGCAAAUACUGGCAAGACUACCCGCAUAUUAAUUGACAAAGCAGUGACAGGCGGCACAAAAAGAUAUGCGAUCCAAGUUUUCAAAAAAAGAGACACGUGGCCACAUGCUUUUGAUUGCCCUAAUUCUAAGAUAUAAAAAGAGCACACGUGAAAGAAACAAGAGGGAGGGGGCCGACACAUAGAAGCAACGAAGAGAAAAAGAAAAAUAAGAGAAUAAGAGAGAGUUGGGGGUUGCAACAAGGGAUUUCAAAGAAAAAGUUGGAGACAUCGCAAAACCUAGGAGCGGGACAUCUUGAAUUUAGUGAAUCUCAAUUCCUCAUCUUUAUUUGCAUGUUUUCAUCUCUUUAUUGGAAUAUAUUUGACGGCAAAAACGUGUGUUGCUACCAUUUUAUCACCUAUCAUGAACUAAACUUUGAUGUAGUUAGGUGUUAAACAAGCUUAAUGGUUAUGACAUGACUGUUUCUAUGAAUGAAUUUUGUAUAGAUCGUAAAGAAAUGAUAAGUAAAUCUUGAGAAGUUGUGAGAACCUUACCGUAACUUGCUGUAGCUACUAUUCCAUUUGAACAGUGAAGAUACCCCUUGCUGUUAAUUAGGCAUUGGCCUCCUCCUCUCGAAGGACAGUCAAUACAUUGUCGUCUUGCACGCCAGUUAGGGAGUACUUUUAGAGAGAAAUUGCCAGUUAACAGACGAAACAAGUCAGACGCGUAGCGAGUCUUACUCGCUGCCACUGGGAGCUGAAUAAGUGAACACUGAGGUGGAAGACUUGGUAGAUCAUCGUCAUCUGGGUGAUUGUAAAAGAUCGUGGAGUCAUCACAGGACAUAUUGAAAUUCAUGGGAAUGUUGCCAAGAAUUGUGGGGCAUUUGAACAGGGUUAAAUUUGAUAGGAUUUCAAAAGAGAUGGAAGGAGACCUGGGAAGAGAAAUAUUUUUGAAGGAUUCACAGCUGCGGUUGUCCAAGUGCCUUUGAAACACUUGAUCAUAAAGUGUAACAGUUUGAUCCGCAGAGAUGCUUGUGACAGAUAACCAUGGCUCAUUCUUUCCCAGUUGAAUCUUUUGAACUGGCUUGUCGCAGUCAUCCACUAAGCAGAAUCCACACUCAGGGUGUGUUCGUAUAGAGUAGGGGAAGUUGAUAUUGCGGAAUUUUCCACAAGAAAAAGAUGGACAACUUAGAUUGAAUCUCAUUUGUUCUUGAGCUAAGGAAAGAAGCAAAAGAUACGAGAGAAUGAAGAACAUAAGAUAAGAGACGUGAGCCAUUAGAAGAAUCCCUGAAUGGCAAGAGAGAUCAACUAAGAAUAAUCUCUGUCCGCAUUGCAUCUUUUAUCCCAGUCAUCUUUGCUAUUUCUUUCAGUUGUUUAACGUCUUGAACAAGUCAGUUGACUUGGAAAAAUGAAUUUGAAGGACGUAAAUGGUUGACCCGUGAUUAAAUGAAAAAUUUCCAAACUCCCUUUCCACAACUAGGACUAAGAAAGCUUGACGCUGUAAUUCUCCUCUUGAAGUAAGAAUAGUAAUAAUAACGAAAAUGCUAAUAAAAAGGGGCCUUCAAGGCUUCAAACGUUGUUCACGUUUUUGGAGAAAUCUUAACAUUUGAUAAAGCUCUUUACUUGAUGUUGCUAUGCUUGAAAUUUACAUAGACCUAAAUCUUGUAAGACAUGUCAUAUGGGCUCUCAUCUCUUAGUUGUAUAAAUAGCUGAGAUUUAAUUAUAGAAGAUGACUUGGCUUUUGAUUAAUUUUAAUAUGACUUUUGCACUCUCCAUAUCUCUCCUUAUCUUUCUCACGUCACUUUCCACAAAUAAAUCAAGGUUUUAUUAGGCAUUUUUUAGCUAUAGUGCUAACUAUACCACCAAGAUUACUAACGAAAGUUUACUGUCCCAAAGAAGUGCAACUCACGCCUUCAAUGAGUGAAAAAUUGAAAAUUGUAUCAGUGUUAUACGCUGAUAUUUAUCGAAAUGGACGUAUUAAUUCCUAAGCAGGAAAAUGUGCCUUUUCAUAGCUAAUGGGAUUACAAAGUUAGUAUACCGUGGAUGGUUGAAGAAUCUGCUGGUGAUCCUGGGGAAGACAAGAAAGGCUUGGGAGGAAUUUGCAAGGAACCAAGGGUUCCUUUCAACAUUUCCACCAAUCUACUCAUUGUUGGCCGGCUUGAGGGGUUAGUCUGUAUGCACCACAAGCUUACAAUUAUCAUCUUCCUUGCAUAUUCUAUACCUUCUUCAUUUUCACUGCCGUGCAAUCCAAGCGCUUCAUCCUUUUCAAGACGUUUGUAAAUCCAAUGCAGAAAAUAUACGUCACUGCUUCCAUUAUCCCGAGCAUCAAAGUUCUUUCUUGCUCCAUUCAUUUCGAAAAUCAUCAUUCCGUAGCUAUAAACAUGUGACUUGUAAGAGGCUUCUCCAAUAUUUCUACAGACACUUCUGGAGCAAUAUACCCAACAUUCCCCCGUGCACCUGUCAUUGAGAUGAUACUUUCUUUCCUGUUGCAGAUUUUAUAUAGGCCGUGUUAUAACUCAUAACAGCUACACAAGAAAUUUCAAGAAGCACUUUGAUAAUUGGACUUGAAAGAACUGAUCAGAGUAAACCAAUCAAGAAAGAAAUCACAAGAAACAGAUUCAGAGCACAGUUUCAAGUACACAAAUUGAUGAAGGAAAAAACUGCUCUUUUAUUGAUCUCAACAAUCUAAUUACAAGCUAAUCACAAAGAAGAAAUUACAAGGACCACAAUGAACCAAAUUGCAAGCAAAAUGAACAAGAAAUGAAGAAGAUAUCGAUAUGAUAUCAGAGGCUAGUCACAAGUGCCUUUUAUUCUGAUAUUUCUGGAAAAAGUCAUAACGAACUCCCAACGAAUUCUGCCACAUCAGCAUAAGUUUUUCAACUAGACCCCUCCAACUGAAGUCGAUCUUCACACUGCUCCAACAAUUCUUCAAAUCUUUCAUUUAAACCCAACGAACCUGCAACUUAUUUCCUCACAGGCCGAAAUCAGAGAUCUUGGGACAGAAGUCUUCAUCUAGGAGAAUGUUAUGAGGCUUGAUGUCAAAAUGCAGAAUUCAUGUACUGCAUCCAAGGUGCAAGUGCUCUAAUUCUCGAGCUACGCCUACUACAAUUUGUAGCAAUGUUUCUCGUGUCAAUUCAUGAUUUUCCGUCGAUAAGCUGUUUCUAUAAAUGAACUUCUCAAGAGGAUCCAUUGGACACAAACUCGUAGAUCAGAGCUCUUCUGCGACCCUCGAAACAGAAUCCUAAAAGAGUGACAAUGUUAACAUGGGAAGUCCUGCUAAUGCUAGCAACCUCGUUGAUGAAUUCUUCACCAUUGCCUUUUGAAUUAUUUAAGAGCUUUACUGCCACAUUAUGACCGUCAAAGUAGUUUUCCUUUGUAAACACCUCCAUAGCCUCCUUGGCCAAGUUGAUGUUUGAAAUAAUUGGUCAUUUUCUUAAUAUCUACAUAACAAUAUCUUUUAGGAGCCUGAGAUUCAUAAUUCCAUAAAAAUGCCUCAAUGUUCAGACAACUUUCAGUGGAAUUGUAUGAUGAAAGUUUUCACCUGAAGUAAAAGGCUAUAAAUAUCAAUAUGCCAACUGCAAUGGCUGAUGCUCCUGCAACCAGAGAAAGGAGUCACUGUCAACUUAAAAUUUCUUUCUCUACUUAAAGACAGAUGGAUGCUUCCCUCAAAACCAUGAGUAGAAGCCAAAAAAUACUUCAGAAAAUUUUGGAUGGUCCAAACAUUGUGCUAGCAGAUGUAUUUGAUUAAAAAGAUACAUUACUGUUUUCUGAGUUUUCUGUUUCCUGCAACAGAAUUAAACAAAGACUGGUGUUAGUUGAGAAUACGAAAAAAUGUCAUGAUGUUCUCAAAUCAUCCAAAUUUUGACAAAAUUGGACAGGCAACUGACAGAAUAGCCAAUCUCAACCAGAUACAGAACUUGCUGCAACAAAUCUGCUGCUUUCUCCAAAUACAGGUAAAGGGACAGCCGAAAUCCAACAAAUAAAUAAAAAGAGACUGAAAAAUAGGAACUCGUUUUGUUGCAUGUUAUUAGAUUAGACAUAGCUUAUGUAAAUGUACAAAAAGAAAAAAAAUAAAAAUUACUAACUCGGAGCAGAUAGUGUUUUGUUCUUAGAAUAACAAAGAACACAAGAAACGAGUAAGAAGCCAUUAAUAUUCCGAAUUCCCAAUAUGGCUGGAGAAAUCAACUAAUAAACUACUAAGAAUAUUCUUAAUCAACUAAUAAACUACUCAGAAUAAUCUUUGUAAUUCUGAAUAAUCUUUGGAAUGGCUUCAGGCUCUACCUCGAGCCUUAGUUGCUGGAUUUGUGAAGACUGACAAGGAAUUUCAGAGUAGAGGCAUGGAACUGUUCCUUGUUCUUAUUUUCAUUCUUGCACUUCUUUUUUAUUUCCCAUCUUUGACUUUUUGUUGUAAAUCAAGCAAAAGUAAUUUUGCUAUACUUGUUCAAUCAUCUUCAGGAGAAAUAUCUGGGACCACAGCUACAUUUGUUAUAGUUGACAGAUGGACUGCGACUGUUGCAUCUGUUGGAGAUUCUCGUUGUAUAUUGGAUGCUCAGGGUGGGGCUGUUUCCACCUUGACUGUAGAUCAUAGGCUUGAAGAGAAUGUGGAAGAGUGCGUUUCUAUAUCAAAGCUCUAUUUCUUCCCUUAUUCUGGAUAGACUUUUUAGUUGGUUAUGCUGCAACUGCAGGAGGGAACGCGUUACUGCAAGGAGGGGUGAAGUUGGGAGGCUUAGCAUUGUUGGAGGUGCUGAGGUAAGGUGUUUUAACAUAUUGGUCUCAAGUCUUAUUCAUUGGUCUUAAAGUAAAGGGCAGAAUUUCUACAAAAUAGAAAAAAUCUAUCCUGCAGUUUGUAACAAAAUUUGCAUAAACUUGACAGAUUGGUCCCCUCCGUUGCUGGCCUGGUGGUUUAUGCAUUUCUAGGUCAAUUGGAGACAUGGAUGUCGGGGAAUUUAUAGUACCAAUACCAUACGUCAAACAAGUAAAGGUAUCCGCCCUCCGCCCCUUUUUUGGGGGGGUUUCUAGAUCAUGUUUUUCACUUGUGAUUCUUUUCCAUCUUCGACUGUGUUACCCGUGAUUUUGAGAUGGGAUUGCUUGGUCUAUCUUCAGCAUGAACUCUUACUUUCUUCAUUGUUUUAAAAGCUAUCAAAUGCAGGUGGAAGGCUUAUUAUUGCUUCUGAUGGAAUCUGGGAUGCCCUAUCCUCAGAAAUGGCUGCACAAUGUUGCCGUGGAUUGCCGGCUGAACUCGCUGCCAGACAAGUGGUGAGGUAAUUUAAUUUGUUGUUUUACUACGUAUUUGUUGCCAGUUCUUUUUAGAAGAACCUGCUAACAUAGCUUUUGAGUAGUUUAUUGUUGUUCAGAUGAUUGCUUAGAAUGUUUUCUCACUGUAUUUGAUGGAUCACUAUUUAGGAAGCAUUAAGGACAAGGGGACUGAAGGAUGAUACAACUUGCAUAGUUGUUGACAUAAUUCCUCCUGACAAUACGAUGCAGCCUCAGCCUCCUCCCCAAAAGCAGAAUAAGCUGAGAGCGCUGCUAUUUAGGAAGAAGUCCCUUGAUUCAGCAAAUAAACUAUCAAAGAAGCUUUCAGCUGUAGGAAUAGUUUAAGAACUGUUCGAAGAAGGCUCGGCAAUGCUUGCCGAAAGGUUAAUGCUGUCUCCUUUGCAUGUGUAAAUGUUCGAUUUGUCAUUGGAAAGGCUCAAAAGUAUUGCUCUGAUUUUCUAAAUCUAGUUCUCAAUCGCUUAAAUGUUCACUUUGUCAUAAUUUUUAAUGCAUUUUGCAGACUGGGUAAUGAAGAACCUGUGUUGCAAUCAACAUCUGGUCUUUUUACAUGUGCUGUAUGCCAAAUCGACCUUGCUCCGAGUGAGGGAAUCUCUGUUCAUGCUGGUUCCAUCUUCUCCACUAGCUCAAAGCCCUGGCAAGGGCCUUUCCUCUGCGCUGAUUGCCGAAAUAAGAAGGAUGCCAUGGAAGGAAAACGCCCUAGUGGAGUGAAAGUAGCAUAACUCCCUUAUUGUAACCUCCUUAUUCUUUCCCACUUCAUUCUAUUAUUUUGUGCCCACUUUCCAUUAGGCUAGUGAAUUGUUUGAAUCUUACCAUAGUGCUACAUCAAUUGUAUAUGUAAUAUAUGCAAAUAAUGUAAAAUGAGUUUUAGCGCCUCAGGGAGAG